GAAUCAAACGGCCCUAAAAGCCCUAAAAUCAAUUCUAAUUUUCAACUCUUUUUCACUUCACUCUACUCUCAACCUUCUCUUUACACAUCAAUGGGCGACCGUGGCCGAGAUGAAAGAGACCGCGACCGAGACCGUGACCGCGGCCGCGAUGAGAGGGACCGCGACCACCGCGAUCGUGACCGUCGGAGAGAUGUAGACGACCGUGACCGACACCGAGACCGAGACCGACGCUCCCGCCACGCCCGCUCGCGCUCACGCUCGCCAGAUCGGCGCCGCCGCUCCCGGUCACAAUCCGAAGCACGGUCCCGUUCCAGGUCCCGCUCCGUCGACCGCUCCCGCCGUCACCACCACCAUUCACGGAGGAGAGAGAAUGACGACUACGAUGACACCGACCGCAAUGUCGUCUCCGAAUUCGUCGAAGGAAUUGCUAAGGAGCAGAAGAAGAAGAAAUCGGAACGAAGAGAAGACAGAGAGAAGAGUCAGAACAAUGAUAAUGGUGGUAUUAAUGGUGAAGAAGGUGGUGAAGAUGAUGAAAUUGAGAUGAUGAAGAAAUUAGGGAUUCCGGUAGGGUUUGAUAGUACGAAAGGGAAGCCUGUUCCUGGUGCUGAUGUUAGUGGUGUUCGUGCUGUUACGAAGCGUCAGCCUCGACAGUAUAUGAAUCGUAGAGGUGGAUUCAAUCGUCCUUUGCCUGCUGAGCGCAAUCGCUAGGGUUUCUUCACUUCUCAAGAAUUUGCAGUUACAUUCUGACUGAAUGAAGCCUAUGUAGCUUGUUUUGUGCAUUUGGUAGAGUUUAAAUAUUUUGAAGAUUGCAACUGCACAAUGAACGAACUUUCAAAAACUUGCAAGGUUCUUGAAACGUGUUUAUCUUUGGAGAUUAUUGACUUCAGCAACUAGUAGCAAAAGCCAGGAUCAGAUGGAAAUUUACCAAAACUGUUGUAAUUCAUUCGUUAGAUACCAAGAGAAAUCAUCAUCAAGGAUUCAAGGGACUGGAGUUCUUGAAUAUGUUGUGACAAUAGAAGUUAAUGCUGCUGUAAAUUUCAGCCUUGUUGCUUGAUCAUGCAGCGCCCCAACACUCAGCUCGAUCUAUAACCCGUAUGUCAUUUAAUCCCUAUUGAAGUAGUUGGUUCAAGAAAACCCCUCAUUCAGUAACAUUGUUUUGUUAGUUUAGUCGGCUGAAAUGAUCCGGCCGUAUCCAAAUAUGCUAAUGACAAUAUUAAUUAGAAGAGAAUUUUGUUUUCCAGUCAUUUGUGUUAAAAGGAUCAUCUCAACUAAAAACUUAAGUUGAUGGUUGAGACCAAUUAAUAUGUUUAAUUCUCUAUUAGUUUGCGGUUUUGCACUAGGGCUACGGCAAACAAUGAGCAAAGACCCUUCACCUUUAUUCGAUUUAUGUGGUUAUCACUA
Chenopodium quinoa (quinoa) is the source of this 1401-nucleotide RNA transcript. It is a transcript of the gene named U4/U6.U5 small nuclear ribonucleoprotein 27 kDa protein-like, with no coding region annotated. Lineage: Eukaryota; Viridiplantae; Streptophyta; Magnoliopsida; Caryophyllales; Amaranthaceae. The transcript has 3 exons. The record is from RefSeq and is a predicted model, not a curated record.